UCAAGCAGGCAGAUCCAAUUUUCUGCCACCGAAUACAUUAGCAUGGGAUAAUGGAAUAGGACCCUGUCCUCCUAUUUUCAGUUGGUUUUGGCAGCGCGAGGACUAGGGUAAUGAUUAAUAGGGAUAGUUGGGGGCAUUAAUAUUUAAUUGUCAGAGGUGAAAUUCUUGGAUUUAUGAAAGAUUAACUUCUGCGAAAGCAUCUGCCAAGGAUGUUUUCAUUAAUCAAGAACGAAAGUUAGGGGAUCGAAGACGAUCAGAUACCGUCGUAGUCUUAACCAUAAACGAUGCCGACCAGCGAUUAGGAGACGUUGAAUACAAAACACCACCAUCGGYGCGGUCGUCCUUGGCGUCUCGGUC
RNAcentral lists this ribosomal RNA (357 nucleotides) under Acanthamoeba sp. 4 VT-2013. RNAcentral's name for it is "SSU rRNA". It matches the Rfam family "Eukaryotic small subunit ribosomal RNA", at positions 787 to 1104 of the family's 1831-position model. The record is from RNAcentral. Lineage: Eukaryota; Discosea; Longamoebia; Acanthamoebidae.